UCUCGGGAUUAAAACCACAUCGAAAACAAAACAUUUGGCAGCAUCUUAUGUAGAUCAGGCUAGCCAUGCCUCUUCGUGUAGCUGAGGAUAAUCCUGAAUGUCUCAUCCUCUUGGUUUCCCUUCCCAAGUGCUGGGAUGAUAAGCACCUGCCCCACUGGCAAACAAACAUUCCCUACAUUUUUAAAAAUUUACUUUAUUUCUUGUGUAUGAAUGCCUGCAUCUGUAUAUGUGUGUCGUGUGCUUGCCCAGACGUGUGUCAGGGACGACUGAAAAAGGAAAUGGACCCCUGGAACAGGAAUUAGAAUGGUUGGGAAUCAUUUGUGUGCAUCUGGGAACCAAACCCAGGUACCUUGCAAGAGCAACAACUGCUUUUUAACUGUCUUCUCCAGCCUUCCAAAACAAAUAUUAAUGAAAAUGAAACCCAACCACCAAGACCUAGUAAUCUUAGCACUUGAAAGGCAGGAGGCCAGUGGCUCUUGGCCACCUCUGGCUCUGCCGUCCUGGGCAUAUUGGUUUCCCGCUGGAUGGGGUAGAGGGUUGCUGGAGCAGGGAGUAGCAAGUGGGAGCAAUGCUAGCAAGAUGUUGAGCUUCAUUUUCUCUCUUCUAGCCUCCGGGGCCCUGGCUGUUGGUGUACCCAGUCUUUUUGAUCUCACAGGCCGGGCCCACCCGCGGCCCCCCAUGAGCGCGCCCGGCUGACCCUGGAGGCGGCCG
Molecule: long non-coding RNA, 711 nt
Filed under: Rattus norvegicus (Norway rat)
Lineage: Eukaryota; Metazoa; Chordata; Mammalia; Rodentia; Muridae
Description: long non-coding RNA NONRATT021566
Source: RNAcentral